UGAUUCUUCUUCUGAAUGUCCCUGUCGACUUGUUCAAUCUUUGUUUUAAGUUUUGGGUCUUCAUAAGACCGAAACCUAACAAAAUAGAAGUGAUGGGUUUGUUUCGGUGCAGGCCAUUCAUCGACAGCAUCCUUUGGUAAAUUAGACGUUUCCAGGUGGCCCGUUUCCUUGGACUCUCCAUUUACUCCAUGUGAACUAUCCACCAAGCCAAAUUGGAUUGGUACCUCGACCCCUUGUUCUGAAUUUGA
This 248-nucleotide unclassified non-coding RNA is filed under the name Hevea brasiliensis (rubber tree). The record is from RNAcentral. Lineage: Eukaryota; Viridiplantae; Streptophyta; Magnoliopsida; Malpighiales; Euphorbiaceae.